RNAcentral lists this ribosomal RNA (254 nucleotides) under uncultured bacterium. Its description in RNAcentral is "partial 16S ribosomal RNA". It matches the Rfam family "Bacterial small subunit ribosomal RNA", at positions 524 to 776 of the family's 1533-position model. The record is from RNAcentral.
UACGAAGGGGGCUAGCGUUGUUCGGAAUUACUGGGCGUAAAGCGCACGUAGGCGGGUUGUUAAGUCAGGGGUGAAAUCCUGGAGCUCAACUCCAGAACUGCCUUUGAUACUGGCAACCUAGAGACUGGAAGAGGUUAGUGGAAUUCCCGGUGUAGUGGUGAAAUGCGUAGAUAUCGGGAGGAACACCAGUGGCGAAGGCGACUACCUGGCCUGUUUCUUGACGCUGAGGCGCGAAAGCUAGGGGAGCAAACGGG